GAAUAUUGGACAAUGGGCGAGAGCCUGAUCCAGCCAUGCCGCGUGCAGGAAGACUGCCCUAUGGGUUGUAAACUGCUUUUAUACGGGAAGAAACACCCCUUCGUGAAGGGGCUUGACGGUACCGUAAGAAUAAGGAUCGGCUAACUCCGUGCCAGCAGCCGCGGUAAUACGGAGGAUCCAAGCGUUAUCCGGAAUCAUUGGGUUUAAAGGGUCCGUAGGUGGAUGAUUAAGUCAGAGGUGAAAUCCUGCAGCUCAACUGUAGAAUUGCCUUUGAUACUGGUUAUCUUGAAUCAUUAUGAAGUGGUUAGAAUAUGUAGUGUAGCGGUGAAAUGCAUAGAUAUUACAUAGAAUACCAAUUGCGAAGGCAGAUCACUAAUAAUGUAUUGACACUGAUGGACGAAAGCGUGGGGAGCGAACAGG
RNAcentral lists this ribosomal RNA (420 nucleotides) under uncultured bacterium. RNAcentral describes it as "bacterial SSU rRNA". It matches the Rfam family "Bacterial small subunit ribosomal RNA", at positions 359 to 776 of the family's 1533-position model. The record is from RNAcentral.